GGGUUGUGAGGUUAAGCGACUAAGCGUACACGGUGGAUGCCCUGGCAGUCAGAGGCGAUGAAGGACGUGCUAAUCUGCGAUAAGCGUCGGUAAGGUGAUAUGAACCGUUAUAACCGGCGAUUUCCGAAUGGGGAAACCCAGUGUGUUUCGACACACUAUCAUUAACUGAAUCCAUAGGUUAAUGAGGCGAACCGGGGGAACUGAAACAUCUAAGUACCCCGAGGAAAAGAAAUCAACCGAGAUUCCCCCAGUAGCGGCGAGCGAACGGGGAGCAGCCCAGAGCCUGAAUCAGUGUGUGUGUUAGUGGAAGCGUCUGGAAAGGCGCGCGAUACAGGGUGACAGCCCCGUACACAAAAAUGCACAUGCUGUGAGCUCGAUGAGUAGGGCGGGACACGUGGUAUCCUGUCUGAAUAUGGGGGGACCAUCCUCCAAGGCUAAAUACUCCUGACUGACCGAUAGUGAACCAGUACCGUGAGGGAAAGGCGAAAAGAACCCCGGCGAGGGGAGUGAAAAAGAACCUGAAACCGUGUACGUACAAGCAGUGGGAGCACGCUUCGGCGUGUGACUGCGUACCUUUUGUAUAAUGGGUCAGCGACUUAUAUUCUGUAGCAAGGUUAACCGAAUAGGGGAGCCGAAGGGAAACCGAGUCUUAACUGGGCGUUAAGUUGCAGGGUAUAGACCCGAAACCCGGUGAUCUAGCCAUGGGCAGGUUGAAGGUUGGGUAACACUAACUGGAGGACCGAACCGACUAAUGUUGAAAAAUUAGCGGAUGACUUGUGGCUGGGGGUGAAAGGCCAAUCAAACCGGGAGAUAGCUGGUUCUCCCCGAAAGCUAUUUAGGUAGCGCCUCGUGAAUUCAUCUCCGGGGGUAGAGCACUGUUUCGGCAAGGGGGUCAUCCCGACUUACCAACCCGAUGCAAACUGCGAAUACCGGAGAAUGUUAUCACGGGAGACACACGGCGGGUGCUAACGUCCGUCGUGAAGAGGGAAACAACCCAGACCGCCAGCUAAGGUCCCAAAGUCAUGGUUAAGUGGGAAACGAUGUGGGAAGGCCCAGACAGCCAGGAUGUUGGCUUAGAAGCAGCCAUCAUUUAAAGAAAGCGUAAUAGCUCACUGGUCGAGUCGGCCUGCGCGGAAGAUGUAACGGGGCUAAACCAUGCACCGAAGCUGCGGCAGCGACGCUUAUGCGUUGUUGGGUAGGGGAGCGUUCUGUAAGCCUGUGAAGGUGUGCUGUGAGGCAUGCUGGAGGUAUCAGAAGUGCGAAUGCUGACAUAAGUAACGAUAAAGCGGGUGAAAAGCCCGCUCGCCGGAAGACCAAGGGUUCCUGUCCAACGUUAAUCGGGGCAGGGUGAGUCGACCCCUAAGGCGAGGCCGAAAGGCGUAGUCGAUGGGAAACAGGUUAAUAUUCCUGUACUUGGUGUUACUGCGAAGGGGGGACGGAGAAGGCUAUGUUGGCCGGGCGACGGUUGUCCCGGUUUAAGCGUGUAGGCUGGUUUUCCAGGCAAAUCCGGAAAAUCAAGGCUGAGGCGUGAUGACGAGGCACUACGGUGCUGAAGCAACAAAUGCCCUGCUUCCAGGAAAAGCCUCUAAGCAUCAGGUAACAUCAAAUCGUACCCCAAACCGACACAGGUGGUCAGGUAGAGAAUACCAAGGCGCUUGAGAGAACUCGGGUGAAGGAACUAGGCAAAAUGGUGCCGUAACUUCGGGAGAAGGCACGCUGAUAUGUAGGUGAAGCGACUUGCUCGUGGAGCUGAAAUCAGUCGAAGAUACCAGCUGGCUGCAACUGUUUAUUAAAAACACAGCACUGUGCAAACACGAAAGUGGACGUAUACGGUGUGACGCCUGCCCGGUGCCGGAAGGUUAAUUGAUGGGGUUAGCGGUAACGCGAAGCUCUUGAUCGAAGCCCCGGUAAACGGCGGCCGUAACUAUAACGGUCCUAAGGUAGCGAAAUUCCUUGUCGGGUAAGUUCCGACCUGCACGAAUGGCGUAAUGAUGGCCAGGCUGUCUCCACCCGAGACUCAGUGAAAUUGAACUCGCUGUGAAGAUGCAGUGUACCCGCGGCAAGACGGAAAGACCCCGUGAACCUUUACUAUAGCUUGACACUGAACAUUGAGCCUUGAUGUGUAGGAUAGGUGGGAGGCUUUGAAGUGUGGACGCCAGUCUGCAUGGAGCCGACCUUGAAAUACCACCCUUUAAUGUUUGAUGUUCUAACGUUGACCC
This 2219-nucleotide ribosomal RNA is filed under the name Escherichia coli. RNAcentral describes it as "partial 23S ribosomal RNA". It matches the Rfam family "Bacterial large subunit ribosomal RNA", at positions 1 to 2234 of the family's 2925-position model. Lineage: Bacteria; Pseudomonadati; Pseudomonadota; Gammaproteobacteria; Enterobacterales; Enterobacteriaceae. The record is from RNAcentral.